GACGAACGCUGGCGGCGUGCCUAAUACAUGCAAGUGGAACGCAUUGAUAUCACCGGAGCUUGCUCCACCGAUAUAAAUGAGUCGCGAACGGGUGAGUAACGCGUAGGUAACCUGCCUGAUAGCGGGGGAUAACUAUUGGAAACGAUAGCUAAUACCGCAUGAGAGUGUUUAACACAUGUUAGAGACUUAAAAGAUACAAUUGUAUCACUAUCAGAUGGACCUGCGUUGUAUUAGCUAGUUGGUAGGGUAGCGGCCUACCAAGGCAACGAUACAUAGCCGACCUGAGAGGGUGAUCGGCCACACUGGGACUGAGACACGGCCCAGACUCCUACGGGAGGCAGCAGUAGGGAAUCUUCGGCAAUGGACGAAAGUCUGACCGAGCAACGCCGCGUGAGUGAAGAAGGUUUUCGGAUCGUAAAGCUCUGUUGUAGCGGAAGAACGCGUGUAAGA
This 450-nucleotide ribosomal RNA is filed under the name Streptococcus downei. RNAcentral's name for it is "bacterial SSU rRNA". It matches the Rfam family "Bacterial small subunit ribosomal RNA", at positions 28 to 460 of the family's 1533-position model. The record is from RNAcentral. Lineage: Bacteria; Bacillati; Bacillota; Bacilli; Lactobacillales; Streptococcaceae.